AUUGAACGCUGGCGGUAUGCUUAACACAUGCAAGUCGAACGGAAACAGGACGCUGUGAUCUCUUCGGAGUGAACUUGUCGCUGUCGAGUGGCGGACGGGUGAGUAAUACUUAGGAAUCUGCCCAGUAGUGGGGGACAACACGGGGAAACCCGUGCUAAUACCGCAUACGCCCUAAGGGGGAAAGUGGAGGAUCUUCGGACUUCACGCUAUUGGAUGAGCCUAAGGCGGAUUAGCUUGUUGAUGGGGUAAAGGCCUACCAAGGCGACGAUCCGUAGCUGGUCUGAGAGGACGAUCAGCCACACUGGGACUGAGACACGGCCCAG
This 323-nucleotide ribosomal RNA is filed under the name uncultured bacterium. RNAcentral describes it as "bacterial SSU rRNA". It matches the Rfam family "Bacterial small subunit ribosomal RNA", at positions 30 to 334 of the family's 1533-position model. The record is from RNAcentral.